CUCAGUCUUCCAGGCUCAAGUUGCAGUGAGUUUACAACAUUCAAAUCCUAUUCCAUGGACUGGCCAAAAUUUAAAAAUAAUGGAUACAGGACUUGAAAGAUAUUUGAUGGAGCCAGAAGAGGAUAUGAUAAGCAAGAAUAUUUGUUUAAGUUGAAAUCAAGACCUUCCUUCUCCUUGGUGGAGGGUCCUGAUACAAAAGGUAUUGGGAGCUAUCCUACCAGAUGGCAUAGUAAAGGCAGGUGGGUAUUUUCCUGGGUUGAUAGCUUUAUUUACCCUGGUCUGCAGGACUAACUCUCAGAAGUUUACUUCUUUUCAAAAUGCCUGUUGUGCAGUGAAGAUGGGGCCAGUGAUAGGAUGGACUAUCACUAUCUGUGGCAAAAUAUCUGGGAAUCCCCACCUGCGACUCAGGUACCUCUAUCCUCUUUUUAAUGAGGGCACACAGUAUGACAUCCUUCAUUUUUGAGGAUGUCAGGCCUGGAACCUUAAAAGUAGGUUUGUUGUAGAGAUGGCUGGGAAACAGGGGUGGUGAGGGGUGUGCACUAGCCACAUCUCCUGGCUUUGCUAGCUGUGUUUCUGAAUCUUUUAAGAUGAAGUUCCCCCUUGCAGUUAUAGAGAGGACACAAUAAUAGCAGAGAGAGAAGCCAACCAAUUCUGCAAACAGGGCCUAUGGGGGGUCAUCACAGUUAUGUAGUGAAACUAUAAACUCACAUUGUCAAUGCAAGCAGAGUGACCACGCUCUCAGGGACUGAUUCAUGCUAGCCAGACUCACUGAAGAUUCUUGAGU
Ceratotherium simum simum (southern white rhinoceros) is the source of this 784-nucleotide non-coding RNA. Lineage: Eukaryota; Metazoa; Chordata; Mammalia; Perissodactyla; Rhinocerotidae. The record is from RefSeq and is a predicted model, not a curated record.